AAGGAUAUGUUGGACAGGUACUUCAAGGGUGAGGAUUUCCCUGCGUUUGGGCUGCAAGUGCUCAUAUUAUAAUUGUUGUUAUUGGUUCAAGCGUUUUAUCUUUGGCUUGCUAUUGCUCAACUUGGUUGGAUUGAUGAUUUUGAUCAAAUUUGAUGGCUUUCAAUUGUUGUUGUUGUACUUUCUUUCACCUGCUCGACGAACGGUCUAGGUUUAGGCAUUGCUCAAGUAGCAGAAACUAAAAAAUUGGAGGAAGUUUAACUGGAGUUAGCAUUGGAACUGUGACUGAAAUGCAAAAAGUUUGGAGAACUUUACAAGCACUGUGAGCUAUUGCUUUUGCCAAUUCUUACUCCCUCAUCCUUAUGGAGAUUCAGG
Solanum stenotomum is the source of this 372-nucleotide long non-coding RNA. RefSeq lists it as uncharacterized. The transcript has 3 exons. NCBI's taxonomy places the organism in Eukaryota, Viridiplantae, Streptophyta, Magnoliopsida, Solanales, Solanaceae. The record is from RefSeq and is a predicted model, not a curated record.